Molecule: ribosomal RNA, 200 nt
Filed under: uncultured bacterium
Lineage: Bacteria
Description: partial 16S ribosomal RNA
Rfam family: Bacterial small subunit ribosomal RNA
Source: RNAcentral
AAAGAACGCUGGCGGCAUGCUUAACACAUGCAAGUCGAACGGAUAAAGUUUCUAGCUUGCUAGGAAUUUUAUUAGUGGCAAACGGGUGAGUAACACGUAGGAAUCUCCCCUAUAGCACGGAAUAACAAUUGGAAACGAUUGCUAAUACCGUAUACGCUCUUCGGAGGAAAGAUUUAUCACUAUAGAAUGAGCCUGCGCUA